This 253-nucleotide ribosomal RNA is filed under the name uncultured bacterium. Its description in RNAcentral is "partial 16S ribosomal RNA". It matches the Rfam family "Bacterial small subunit ribosomal RNA", at positions 524 to 776 of the family's 1533-position model. The record is from RNAcentral.
UACGUAGGGUGCGAGCGUUAAUCGGAAUUACUGGGCGUAAAGCGUGCGCAGGCGGUUUUGUAAGCCAGAUGUGAAAUCCCCGGGCUUAACCUGGGAAUGGCAUUUGGGACUGCAAGGCUUGAGUGCGGCAGAGGAGACUGGAAUUCCUGGUGUAGCAGUGAAAUGCGUAGAUAUCAGGAGGAACACCGAUGGCGAAGGCAGGUCUCUGGGCUGACACUGACGCUCAUGCACGAAGGCGUGGGGAGCAAACAGG